UGAAACCUGGGAUGUUCGUGGAGCCCCUGUAAAUUCAACCUACAGAUUGUAUUCGGGAGUUUGCGUUCCUUUAUGGAUGAAAUGCCUCCUUUGCGUGGACUUCAAAAGUAAAGGACAGGACACCCACCUAGUUGAGGCUAGGGUGUGAAUUUAGAGGCUAGCGGCAUUCUGGGAGAAAA
Molecule: non-coding RNA, 179 nt
Filed under: Thermotalea metallivorans
Lineage: Bacteria; Bacillati; Bacillota; Clostridia; Peptostreptococcales; Thermotaleaceae
Description: 6S / SsrS RNA
Rfam family: 6S / SsrS RNA
About the family: E. coli 6S RNA was the first non coding RNA to be sequenced, but its function was unknown until recently. It consists of 184 nucleotides that fold into an extended hairpin structure with a large single-stranded internal bulge.
Source: Rfam by way of RNAcentral